GACGAACGCUGGCGGCGUGCUUAACACAUGCAAGUCGAACGGAAAGACCCUGCUUUUGUUGGUUGCUCGAGUGGCGAACGGGUGAGUAACACGUGAGUAACCUGCCCUUGACUUUGGGAUAUCUUUUGGAAACUGGGGCUAAUACCGGAUAGGAGAUCCUGCGGCCUGGUGGGCGUUGGUAAGUUUCGGCGGUUGGGGAUGGACUCGCUGCUUAUCAGCUUGUUGGUGGGGUUGUGGCUUCCCAAGGGUUUGACGGGUAGCCGGCCUGAGAGGGUGACCGGCCACAUUGGGACUAAGAUACGGACCAGACUCCUACGGGAGGCAGCGGUGGGGAAUAUUACACAGUGGGCGGAAGCCUGAUGCAGCAACGCCGCGUGCGGGAUGACGGCCUUCGAGUUGUAAACCGCUUUCGCCUGUGACGAAGCGUGAGUGACGGUAAUGGGUAAAGAGGCACCGGCUAACUACGUG
RNAcentral lists this ribosomal RNA (468 nucleotides) under uncultured bacterium. RNAcentral describes it as "partial 16S ribosomal RNA". It matches the Rfam family "Bacterial small subunit ribosomal RNA", at positions 28 to 507 of the family's 1533-position model. The record is from RNAcentral.